GUGGGGAAUAUUGGACAAUGGGCGAAAGCCUGAUCCAGCCAUGCCGCGUGAGUGAUGAAGGCCCUAGGGUUGUAAAGCUCUUUCACCGGUGAAGAUAAUGACGGUAACCGGAGAAGAAGCCCCGGCUAACUUCGUGCCAGCAGCCGCGGUAAUACGAAGGGGGCUAGCGUUGUUCGGAAUUACUGGGCGUAAAGCGCACGUAGGCGGGUAUUUAAGUCAGGGGUGAAAUCCCGGAGCUCAACUCCGGAACUGCCUUUGAUACUGGGUACCUAGAGUAUGGAAGAGGUAAGUGGAAUUCCGAGUGUAGAGGUGAAAUUCGUAGAUAUUCGGAGGAACACCAGUGGCGAAGGCGGCUUACUGGUCCAUUACUGACGCUGAGGUGCGAAAGCGUGGGGAGCAAACAGGAUUAGAAACCCGGGUAGUCC
Molecule: ribosomal RNA, 425 nt
Filed under: uncultured bacterium
Lineage: Bacteria
Description: bacterial SSU rRNA
Rfam family: Bacterial small subunit ribosomal RNA
Source: RNAcentral